GGACUACCCGGGUAUCUAAUCCCGUUCGCUCCCCAUGCUGUCGUGUCUGAAUGUCAGAAUCGGGCCAGGACGCCGCCUUCGCCUCAGGGGUUCCUCCGGAUCUCUACGCAUUUCACCACUACACCCGGAAUUCCACGUCCCUCUCCCGUUCUCUAGAAAAACAGUCUGGCAUAACCCCGCCCAGUUAAGCUGAGCGAUUUCAUACACCACUUGCUUUCCCAUCUGCACACGCUUUACGCCCAGUAAAUCCGGAUAACGCUCGCCACCUACGUUUUACCGCGGCUGCUGGCAC
This 292-nucleotide ribosomal RNA is filed under the name uncultured bacterium. RNAcentral describes it as "partial 16S ribosomal RNA". The record is from RNAcentral.